Corvus hawaiiensis (hawaiian crow) is the source of this 6223-nucleotide long non-coding RNA. RefSeq lists it as uncharacterized. The record is from RefSeq and is a predicted model, not a curated record. Lineage: Eukaryota; Metazoa; Chordata; Aves; Passeriformes; Corvidae. The transcript has 4 exons.
UCAGGUGUUUUUAAGGACAAUUUGUGAUACUUCCUUUAUAUCACAAUAUGGAUUUUUAAUUUGUUUUCCAAAAUUUAAAAUGAAAUCCUAGAGGGAACUUGCCUGGCUGUUAUGUCAUUCCUGGUUCAUAACAAUCAAGUUCCCAAUGUUCCUUGGGAAGAAAGAUGCUGCCAUGCUACUCACUCAGUGAUUCCCAUGGCACAAUAACCAGUGGUUUUUGCAUCAUGACAAGUGUUUCAAAAGAGCAUCACUAUGAAAUUGAGCCCUCAGGGCAGUGAGGGCACAGAAUCCAAUGGAAAUACAAUGCCAAGGAAUUGAAUCCAGCUCACCAUGGUGAGAAUGCUGAUCACACAGCUGUGCCAAGCCCUGCACACAAUGUGUACCUGAGUACACCUAACUGUUUAAGACAAUUCAAGAAAUCAAUUACAAUGGUAACUAGUUUAUUCCAUGGAAGAGCUGUUAGGCAAUUCGAUUUCCCCACACAGGCUAUUGUUCUGGAAGGUGAGAACAAGAGAUAAGCAAGCUUUCUCAGAAGAAAAGGCAAACCAAUAACUGAUAACAUAUUACUAGGUACGACUGUUGAAAAUAGCUAUUUUAUCAGCAAUUUCCAGGAUACCACCACUCAGCAGGUAUGGAUCCAUGCUGAAUCAGGAAUUCAGCUCCUCUGCUGUUGCAAAACUGAGCCUGAAACUUGUUUAUGCAAGACCUAAACAAGCCUUACAAAACUUGGAGAAACAAAGAAAAACUUUCAAAAAUACGUGGUCUUACACUAUCUAAGUACCUGUUUACUCGGCAGCAUUUGCAGAAGCAAAAGGGGAAACACAUUCAAACUUCAUAGAGAUCCCCAACAGCUGUGCCAGAACACCAGGGACUUCUGCAAGGUAAAUAUUUGCUGAGAUAGCAGGAACAAAAUGCUCCAGCAAAUUAAUCAGGAAGGUUUUGGCAAGUUCUCACAGGCACAAGGUGCUUUAAGAUUUGUAGUUCCAACACACCAUUUGGCAAAUACUUUUCUUGUGAUUGCUUUUCAGAACAUUCUCAGCCUCAAAAACAGCUCAGCAUUCCAACCUGCACGUGUCAGAAAGCUCUUCCAGGAGCAAAAUCACACUUUGAAGGCUUAACCAUCUAUGACAGCAAUGCUAGCAUGUAGUAGAAAUGGUUGUUUAAAAAAAAAAAAAUUAGAAAUAAAAAGGAGUAAAGGAAAUAAGAUGAAAAAAAUAACCAAUCCCAAGUUUAACUUAGUAAACAGUUUAAAAGAGCACAGUGACCGAGACUCUUAAAUAGAUCUUGUUCUUGUAACCUCUCAAGAAUCUAUGAAAAUAAUUAUUAGGGUUGCAGCAACAACAAAAAUAAAGUUUUGUAAAUCUUUAGAAGACUUUCAGAGUCAGUAAGGCAUAUUGUGAUAAGUAAAUAGACACAUUUGUUACUCUGCAACAAAUUAAAGAAUGUUCCCUUUAGAAUGUAUUUUUAAAAACUCUAUGAAUACCAGCUCAAGAAGUAAUUCAGUGUGUGAACUUUCAGGUUAGUUAAAGUCACAAGAAACAGUCUCCUAUUCUGAUUUACACCUUGAGGAAACAGGGUUGCAAAUUUUAAGAUGUAUACAGUGCUGAAGAAGGACAAAGUGCGUACAGAUGGAAAUAAACAGCACCCAAGUAUAUGUCAUAAAUAAACCUCAGUCACUAAGAACAGCCAAGAUUGCUACUGUUUCAUACUGUCACUAGCAAAAAAAAGAUCCAAAGGGUGGUUCAAAAUAUUAAAAUUUUUUUGUUAGCCUUUAUUUGUUUACAAAGUGUUGGCAUUCUACUCAAAACAAAAAUGCUAAUUUUUUCAAUUCUGUGUAUGCACCAGACCUAGAAUAACAAAAAUAUAUGGCAUCAUUCUAAAAUCUUUGUGUUUCUCUUUUUUUAUUUAAUGACAAAUUGCAUCACCUAAGAGGAAAUGUGAUGUUUGCAGGAAAAUGGAGAGUCAGCACUUUAAGCAUAUUGAACUUUUAUGGUAGACAAAACCUCAAUUAUUCAUCCUGCCACUGUUUCACCUGAACCAGAUACAUGGAGGCUUGGGAGGCAUCAAAUAGUAAAUAAUGCACAUUUCAGCCACUGCAACUCAGCUCCUCCUAAAAGAGAAUCUAUUCAUCCAUUUGUCCAUGGAAAGGUAUCACUCCCUUGUCUAAAGAGCACAUUAAAGAUCACCUGAGUUGGACACAGCAACAAGAAAAGGAUUUCUUCUCUUUACAAGUGACUUCUAUUUCUGUGGGACCUGUAGAUCACACAGGCACCCAGAUGUGCAUCCCCUGCUUUGCAAGCCCUACUGCUAGAUGAGGAGACUACUUUUGGCAAGCUUCUGGAUGUUUAGAUGUCUUGAAAAAUUGACACUGCCCACAGUAUUCCAGAGAUGUCUGGAAGAACUCAACAAGCACCAUGUAGAGUUGAUCUGCCCAGCGCACAAGGAUUCACAAAAAAUAUGUGCCUCUGAAACCACUUCCCUGAGACCAGUCUGGAGCAUUUUUCCAAUCACAUCUUUUUCAAUAAGGCCUUGUGGAACAGACUGUCUUGCAGGCCUCUUGAGGAACAUUUUUACCACUGCUGCCCUACCUUGUUGGCCUCAGGAGGGACAUUUUUUCCACUGUUGCCAGCACUGCUUGUGUUUUAUGGGAACAAGGACUGGGAGGAGAUGUCUGAAAAUGCCUAAUUUCAUCAGCAAAGGAGGACAGCAGAUAAUUGUGGACAGCCCUGCAUGUACUUUUAAAAUGAGAUAAACAUAAAUUUCAAGCAGAAGGAGAGGAAGAAAGAUAAUGUUGCAAGAAGAUGGGCAAUGGCAAAAUAAUAAAUAAACACAUAUGCACAAUUGUACUGGUAAAGACAGAGGCAGUAAGGGAACUAUUCCAACUUCAGCUGAAUUACAGGUAGAAAACUAGAGAUGAACAAGAGGCCAAUUUUGCCUUUACUUUUUUGAGAGGUGAGGAAAUCCUAAAUCCUUCCACGAACUCCUUCUCACUCAAACUCCCACCACUGGGAGCUCAAAAUUUAGAGAGGUUCCACAAUUCUGGGAUGCAGAUUUAGCUCAUGAGGGAAAGAAUGGGAUCAUCUGGGAAAGAAGUGCACUGCCAAGCACAACUGCAAGUCAGAGCAUCAGUUAGAGGAAGGACCCAUUUAGCUUUCCCCACCCUCAGCCAGUUCUUGUUUUAUACCACCAUACUACACCUAUUGUCAAAAGCCUGCAGCACUGUUAAAGUGCACAGCCAUGGUCACCAAAGGAAUUUUAAGCAGAUCUAGAAUAUAUUCACAGAAAAAUGGUAAUAAAAUGAGUAACGGGCAGAAUUUGUGCCAGAAAGUUCAAUUAUUCUAACAGUUACAUGUAUUGAUCCACAUAAGGGAAUAUCAGCAUUUAAUCUGGUUGAAAUGAAACCAUUUUAUAUAAAAUCCAUUUGUAGAAAACGCCUAGCAAGCACAAAAUGGGCCAGGAAAUAUUUUCAUUUGAAACUACCAUACAUGGAUGAAUUAUCAUUAAUUCAUGUUAAAAAUACAAUUGAGAAAGAACAUUUACCCAUUAUAUGGUAUAGGAAUUAUUUACAUUCUGUUAUUUACACCAUUUGGAAGGCCAUAUUCAGAAAGGGUUUGGGGAUGGAGUUAAGGAAAAACAGAGACCAUAUUGGCCGUUAUUGGCCAUUCCACCUACUUCUAAUUACCCUGCAAGUUUUUAUUUUAAAAUUAUAACUCUGUGAAUACCCAUUACACUGUUAUUCAUAACUGUUAAUCACCUAUUGUUUAACCACUCAGGUACUGAUUAAACAAUAAAUAAGGAAACUUUUACGACUAACACUUAAUCACACUAUCUUUCAAAACACAGCAUGUUCAAGUACCAUUGCCUGAGUCUGGAAAAAUGGGAAAUAUGUUUCAGUGUCUCCAAGCGCUGAAUGAAAUCAGGAGGUAUCUGAAGUCCUUCCUUGGCAAUGGUUGUUCAUUCAGUUUUGUUUAUUUUCUUUUUUUUUUUCUUUUCUCUGCCACACCACUGAUUUAGGAACUUUCAUGGGAGAGAGGUUUUUGAAGGUAAAUAAAUCAAACGUUUUCUGGGAACAGGUAUUCAAGAUAGUAUGCAUUUUUUUUACUCCUCAGCAAUGCUGCAUACUGAUUCUGCAAGUCUUUCAUCAUCCAGUGUUUUAGAAUUUGCAAUAGGAGUUUUGUCAUCAAUGGUACACAGGAAAUAUAUUUCCUCCCUAUUUUGAAAAGACAAUUUGGUUCUAAGUAUUAUGUUAAAACUCCCCUCUCCUUAGCCUGAAGAAAAAUAUCGCUUCUUUUCUUUUAAAAACUAUUGGGUUGGCAAGUACCCUGCUCCUGCAGUGCAUGGAUUGACUCUUCAUUAUAACCUGGCUUUCUUAUUUUUCUCACUGUAAACAAAAGAAUCAAACAAAACCAAAGCAAAACACCUUAUGACUUCAUUUCACUACUUUCCAGUUCUGGGAGACAAUAAACCUUUGCAAAUAUAGCCAAUUAUGUAUAAUCUAGAGCUGGAACACGAGAAAGCAAUGAGGCAAAUGAACAAAUAGGUUAACAGGUAUUUUAAUUUACUGGAAUUUAUAAUAGAGUCUAUUUGAAUAAGCAAAUAUAUCUGCCUGAAGGCUUGUGGGAUUAGGACAUGCAUCUUUAAUUGGAUAGAUUUUCUGUACUUUUGAAUAUUUGCCCAGAUAUUUUCACUGAGGUCAGUUUUCCAGAUUUCCAUAAAUGAGACCUGUGGUUAGUACCUUGCACAGUAUUUCUUUGUAAAUAAAUUUUAGAUCUAAUUUCAAGUCUCCCUCCAUCUACUGGGAGAUUUUCCUAUUAUUAAAAACAGACUCAUGGACUUUUCAUAUCUUUAUUAAAGGUAGAUGAAUAAUUAUAUUAAAAAGGUAUAAUUCACUAUAAAAAUCUUUGAUCUGUUUCUCAUUUCAGUAAGACUGGAAUGGAAGUAUAGCUUUGCCAAUCUGGUUUCAGUGCUAACAUCCUGAGCACAUCUUUAUGAAUAACUGCAAAGAAACAUUUACAUAAUUAAAAAGCUUUUCCUAUAAACAGGCAUUUUUUCUGAAAUGUAUUCAUGAUUACUUCAAUUUGUGCUACAAUUUUUUAUAUGAAUCAAAUAAGGAGUUAUUUCUAAGUGGAUACCAGUUGAUAUUUAAAACAUACAUAUUUCUCUUUUCCCUGAUUUUCCAGGCAAGCAACAUGGUUGUAUCAGCUUCCUUGUUGGCAAAUUACACAGAUGUGCUUUGCCAUAUUUGAAGCUUGUAAAUGAGAAAUUAAUUUUUCACAAAUAUCAAUGCCACUAUGGAUCUAUUGUUCAGCCCCUGCUAUGAAAUGAAAAGGAAUGAAUCUUGUCAGAAGAAAACACCACGUGGAAAAUAUUCUCAGAAGCACAUUAGUGAUACUUACUUGGAAUCAGUUCGAUAUAAUGAACUCAUUAUAUGUCCAUAUCUGAAACCUUAGACAGAUCAAUAAAGUGAGCACAAGCUUUAUGCUCUUGUUACGAAAAAAAAAAAUACCAUUUAAGGACAGCAACAUGUUUUGCAAGUUAGAUAAGUGGAAUAUAUUCACCAAACUGCCAGGAAGGGCAGAAAAAUUAUCCCCACUUGUUUUCCUGUCUUCCCUUGUCCCAUGAUGUGCUACAAGAAUUCUUCUGAAUGAAUGAGCUUCAAAGCCCUUCCAUUGGUUUUAGAAUGGGUAGCCAUUACUACAAAAUCCAGAUAAUAUUUGGGUGAGAUUUAGAUAAAUAUAAAUGUAACACACCUCCAGCUUUUUGGUGUAGCUGAAAUUCCAAAGGGUAACUUGAAGUUUUUGGUCUUUGACUCUUGCCUGGUGCCAGUGUGUUCUCAGAGACUAGACCAAGAAACAAAAAUCUUCUGUCUGUAUGCACACAAAAGUAACUGUGGUUCAACAUCAUCCAUCUCUUCUCCUCAUUAAAAUUAACUAUGAGAAGCCUGUGAAAUCUCACAACUGCAAUCUCAUUGUAGGCUUGAAAAUACAUGAUGCAAAAUACAUUUUCCCUACUACAUCACUGUAUCUUUUUUUUUUCCAUCAGUUUCUGGGCUGCAAAAGAAACUUCCCUUUUUUUUUAACUGAAAGCACAUUGUUCUGUCAUUUCAAAAGAUCCACUGGAUUGUGCAUAUCACAUACAGGAUCUAUUUGAUUUAUAUUUUCCUAGCCAGUCAAUGCUUUCAGAGUGCUUUACUACAUGUUCAUGCUCUGGGGCUAAAUACUGA